CGUUGAAACUGGCGAACUUGAGUGUAGAUGAGGUAGGCGGAAUUCGUGGUGUAGCGGUGAAAUGCAUAGAUAUCACGAGGAACUCCAAUUGCGAAGGCAGCUUACUAAGGUACAACUGACGCUGAAGCACGAAAGCGUGGGUAUCAAACAGGAUUAGAUACCCUGGUAGUCCACGCAGUAAACGAUGAUAACUGGGCGUAUGCGAUAUACAGUAUGCUCCUAAGCGAAAGCGUUAAGCUAUCCACCUGGGGAGUACGCCGGCAACGGUGAAACUCAAAGGAAUUGACGGGGGCCCGCACAAGCGGAGGAACAUGUGGUUUAAUUCGAUGAUACGCGAGGAACCUUACCCGGGAUUGAAAUGUAGAUGACAGGCGGUGAAAGCUGCUGUCCCUUCGGGGCAUCUAUGUAGGUGCUGCAUGGUUGUCGUCAGCUCGUGCCGUGAGGUGUCGGCUUAAGUGCCAUAACGAGCGCAACCCCUGUCUACGGUUGCCAUCAGGUAAUGCUGGGGACUCCGUAGAGACUGCCGUCGUAAGGCGUGAGGAAGGUGGGGAUGACGUCAAAUCAGCACGGCCCUUACAUCCGGGGCGACACACGUGUUACAAUGGUAUGGACAGAGGGCAGCCACUUGGCGACAAGGAGCAAAUCCCUAAACCGUAUCACAGUUCGGAUUGGAGUCUGCAACUCGACUCCAUGAAGCUGGAUUCGCUAGUAAUCGCGCAUCAGCCAUGGCGCGGUGAAUACGUUCCCGGGCCUUGUACACACCGCCCGUCAAGCCAUGGGAGUCUGGAGUACCUAAAGUCCGUAACCGCAAGGGUCGGCCUAGGGUAAUACAGGUGACUGGGGCUAAGUCGUAACAAGGUAACC
Molecule: ribosomal RNA, 864 nt
Filed under: uncultured bacterium
Lineage: Bacteria
Description: bacterial SSU rRNA
Rfam family: Bacterial small subunit ribosomal RNA
Source: RNAcentral